UGGCUCAGGAUGAACGCUAGCGGCAGGCCUAACACAUGCAAGUCGAGGGGUAACAGGCGGUAGCAAUACUGUGCUGACGACCGGCGCACGGGUGCGUAACGCGUAUGCAACCUGCCUCGCACAAGGGGAUAACGGAGUGAAAAUUCCACUAAUAUCCUAUGGUGUUGCCUUGCCGCAUGGCGAGGCGACUAAAGCUACGGUGGUGCGAGAUGGGCAUGCGUGACAUUAGGUAGUUGGCGGGGCAACGGCCCACCAAGCCCACGAUGUCUAGGGGAGCUGAGAGGCUAAUCCCCCACACUGGUACUGAGACACGGACCAGACUCCUACGGGAGGCAGCAGUGAGGAAUAUUGGUCAAUGGAGGGAACUCUGAACCAGCCAUGCCGCGUGAGGGAGGAAGGCCCUAUGGGUUGUAAACCUCUUUUGACGGGGGUCAAUAAGGGAGCUGCGGCUUCCGAUGAGCGUACCCGUCGAAUAAGCAUCGGCUAACUCCGUGCC
RNAcentral lists this ribosomal RNA (496 nucleotides) under uncultured organism. RNAcentral's name for it is "SSU rRNA". It matches the Rfam family "Bacterial small subunit ribosomal RNA", at positions 20 to 509 of the family's 1533-position model. The record is from RNAcentral.